UCACCCAUUUGGUUGAAAUUCACAACCAGCACUUUCAACAGCCAACAACAUCAAAUACAAACAAUAGAAACAUGGAAGCUUGCUUUAUGUGUUCUCGAGCUAUUUAUUUCUUUGCAAUUAGCCAGUGCAUAGAAAGAUGACAGUGAAAAGCAUCAGAUAGAAAUACCUAACUUCUUCUUCAAAUUCUCAACCUCUAAAUAUACUGUGGAGUAAGGGAGAAACUCUGAGAAAUGGUUUUUGCUGAGAUCGUUAAU
Molecule: unclassified non-coding RNA, 254 nt
Filed under: Hevea brasiliensis (rubber tree)
Lineage: Eukaryota; Viridiplantae; Streptophyta; Magnoliopsida; Malpighiales; Euphorbiaceae
Source: RNAcentral